AAAAUAAUUGCCAUGAGUUGAUUGCUUUGUAAAUUUUGUCCAUCUUCUCCUUCAGGUUUUGGUUUGCUUGUAAGCAAGCUGGGAUUUUAUCAGCUAUCCCCAGUACCCCUCUGAAGGAUUCUUUGUCUGUAGAGCUGCUGGGCAUCUGUCAGGCUGGUGGAUUCAGAGGUUGUGUAGGCUGCCCUGUAGUAUUGUGCAAAAGGCAGGAAUUCACAGCUUAGCUACAUUUGGGAAGCCAAAGCAUUACUUUAAUGGAAGAAGUGAUCAAAUUACCCGAAGAAACCUAACUAUGACAGAUGCCAUCUCGACUGAGCCGUUUACAAUUUACUACCACAGAAGGAGAGCAGAAGAAGUGAAUCCCAGUAUCUGA
This 370-nucleotide long non-coding RNA is filed under the name Chloebia gouldiae (Gouldian finch). RNAcentral's name for it is "Erythrura gouldiae (Gouldian finch) lncRNA (ENSEGOG00005006271.1)". Lineage: Eukaryota; Metazoa; Chordata; Aves; Passeriformes; Passeridae. The record is from RNAcentral.